UGGGGAAUAUUGCACAAUGGGGGAAACCCUGAUGCAGCGACGCCGCGUGAAGGAAGAAGUAUUUCGGUAUGUAAACUUCUAUCAGCAAGGAAGAUAAUGACGGUACUUGACUAAGAAGCCCCGGCUAACUACGUGCCAGCAGCCGCGGUAAUACGUAGGGGGCAAGCGUUAUCCGGAUUUACUGGGUGUAAAGGGAGCGUAGGUGGCAUGGCAAGUCAGAUGUGAAAGCCCGGGGCUCAACCCCGGGACUGCAUUUGAAACUGCCAGGCUGGAGUGCAGGAGAGGUAAGUGGAAUUCCUAGUGUAGCGGUGAAAUGCGUAGAUAUUAGGAGGAACACCAGUGGCGAAGGCGGCUUACUGGACUGUAACUGACACUGAGGCUCGAAAGCGUGGGGAGCAAA
Molecule: ribosomal RNA, 400 nt
Filed under: uncultured bacterium
Lineage: Bacteria
Description: bacterial SSU rRNA
Rfam family: Bacterial small subunit ribosomal RNA
Source: RNAcentral